AUCGCAUCCAAUUGGAUUGUAUUUCUAAUUGGCGUGCCACUUAGCUAUUUUGUUUCUCUUGGAAAAUGUUUAUCAUAGUGUUGUUGCUUGGUUGGCCCACAGUUUUUGGCACUUAUGCCUGCAACGAAUGUUUUUGCUUUAAAGAAUUGGAAAAAUCAAACCCUGUCGAUUGUCAAAGCUAUGAUGGAAAUGUGAAAAAGUUCUACUAUGGAAAUGCUGCCUGCGAAGCGCUACAACCUGGCGACAAUUGUUAUCCGAAGGUGUUUACAAGUCUAGCUGCUUGCAAAGCGGCAUGUAAACGUUUUUUUUACUAUGCGCAGGAAUGGAAAAAGUUGCCAAUCAUUGAUUAAAAUAAAAAAGUUAAAUAUUGAAAAAAGAAAAA
Drosophila virilis is the source of this 382-nucleotide non-coding RNA. The record is from RefSeq and is a predicted model, not a curated record. NCBI's taxonomy places the organism in Eukaryota, Metazoa, Arthropoda, Insecta, Diptera, Drosophilidae.